GCGCCGCAGAGAGGCACAGACCCCAGAGGCCGGCGGCAAAUUACCGUCCUGCUCCCAGCUGUAUGACCCAGAUCUCCGGUAUGCGGCCCGCCUUUGCAUCAGCUCAGUUUUUUUUUUCCACACGUCCUCAUUAGAAUGUAUGCUCCCAGAAAGGAAAGAAGAGAAACCAGUUGAAUGUGGUUUCUAACUCACCUGGUUCCUAGUGCCUGGAACCAAUACUCCACCUAUAGUCUUUGCUCAAGAAAUAUUUGUGGACAAGUGCCAAGUGACUGUUAACAUGAGGGAAGUGAUUCAAGACAAAGACCCAUUCUGCCAGUGAGCUAUGCUGGGAAUACCAACUAUGCUUGUUACAGAAUGUGCACGGCAACUACUGACCGGCCUUCCCGAUGCCAGCAAGAGGGUUACAGAAGCAAUCUCCCGAGCUUUCCACGACAUUCAAGUGACCAGGCACUUUGACCCCCAUCAUUAGGGGCUGCCCCAAAGAAGCUGCGUUCCUACCUCACUUGGUGCCCCUAAGCGGCAGUUGAGACACCAGAGGGUGUAUGACCCUUGUUGAAAUGGACUUGUCAUAGGUGUGUGCUUUCAAUUGGCGUUUCCCUCCUGUCUUGUUUGAGAAAUCCCAGUCAUUUAACGCUCCUACCUGCUUCUUUUUUUACAACUUCACAUUCACAGCAGAAUUUCAUUUUGUCUUUCAAUUGUGUGGCUUGCCUUAAUCCUCUGAUAGAGCUUCAAAUUGUUUAUUCCUUAAUUUUUUUUUUAAGUGACCUGGAGCUUAGCCAGCUCCAGCCAGUCUCUGAGUUUGGCUUUGUGUCCAUAAGCCGCAGUUGGGAGAAACGCAAGAAAUGCCCAAACAGAAUAAAACAAAUGAUCUAUUUAGUCUCAUUUCCUCUCUUGGAAGAGGUCCAGCUUUGAGUGCUUUGGAAGAAGAUGAAAAUCCCCCCACCCCACCCCCACUGCUCCCUCAUACACCCAAACAGUAUGACCUUGUAUUUAAGUAAAAGCUAUCCUUAGCUCCCAAUGGGUGAUGGUGUUUUGUCUGGAAGAGCUACUGAUGUUUCUAUAAUAAGAUAAUAAUAGUUGCUCCUCUCCUAUCUAACCCCUAUUUAAAAUACAUUUCACCACAAGGCAACUUGUUACACAACUUUAUAGAUGCAAAUACUGUUUCGUAAGGUUGUUUCAACCAGGGGAAAGGAGACUGGUUAUAACAGUUCACUUAGACAAUUAGUUUCUGGGACUGUUGCAUUGGUAUGAUUUUUUUUUUUUAAGCUUAUAAUAGGUAUUUUUUGUUUUUUAUUUCCCUUUCAAGUUGGCUUUCAAAUAAAUCCAGUUUCCUCUUUCU
This is a long non-coding RNA of Physeter macrocephalus (sperm whale), 1339 nucleotides long. RefSeq lists it as uncharacterized. Lineage: Eukaryota; Metazoa; Chordata; Mammalia; Artiodactyla; Physeteridae. The transcript is spliced from 3 exons. The record is from RefSeq and is a predicted model, not a curated record.